CCUGCUCACUGAUAUUUUUAAAGAGCUGCAGUAUUUUAACUGUACGAAGGUAGCAUAAUCAUUAGUUUUUUAAUUGAAGACUGGUAUGAAAGGUUAGACGUAUUUUAACUGUCUUUAUUAUAAUUAAUGAAGUUAAUUUGUUUGUGAAAAAGCAGACAUGUAUUAAAGGGACAAGAAGACCCCGUUAAAUUUAAAUAUUUUAUUUACUGUGUAUAUAUAAAUUACGUGUAUAUUACAUAUUUUGUUUGGGGCGAAUGAUAUUAUUUAAACAAUAUUAUAUUAUAAUAAAUUAUAUAGCAUUUAUUUGGUCUAGAGAUAAGACUAAAUAAUAGAAAAAAUUACUAUGGGGAUAACAGCGUAAUAUUUUUUGAGAGUUCAUAUUGACAAGAAUGUUUGCGACCUCGAUGUUGGAUUAAGGAGUCUAUUAGACGUAAAGGUUAUAUUAGAUAGUCUGUUCGACUAUUAAAUUCUUACAUGAUCUGAGUUCAAACCGGCG
RNAcentral lists this ribosomal RNA (496 nucleotides) under Glyphiulus sp. rh YZ-2022a. Its description in RNAcentral is "partial large subunit ribosomal RNA". It matches the Rfam family "Bacterial large subunit ribosomal RNA", at positions 1858 to 2621 of the family's 2925-position model. The record is from RNAcentral. Lineage: Eukaryota; Metazoa; Arthropoda; Diplopoda; Spirostreptida; Cambalopsidae.